CAACAAUGCCACCUACCCUAUCAAUUCUUGCAUGAAGUCUUCCUGUGGCUAUAAACUGAGACAAUUCUCUGAAAAAUAAAAAGGAGAAGAAGUACAGUAACCUCCGCCACAGUAUGGUGAAAGAGAUGUAGUCAUCUUCACUUCGAGAUAUAAAAGUACCUGAAGGAAGCAUAGGAGUAUCUUUUUGAUACUGAAAAUAGAGACGAGACAGUGAGCUCUAAUUAAAGAAAGGAUCUAUGACAAUAAAUAGAUUGGCUGACAAAUAAGACAGAGCAGUGCAGUUGAGUUUUGUUCCUACUGAAAAAUGUUCACUUUUGCUUCAUUUUUCCUUAACAUGGUUUGCUGUGUUUAUCUUCACCUGGGAAUAUUAUGCAGUUAAUUUUAAAGCAAAUAGAAAUUUAUUUGGAUCUACUGAAACAGUGGACAUUCUGCAAUUAAUUAAGGUGAGAAUACAUUACAGUUAACAUUAUUAAUUGCUCACUUACUAAUCUAUUACCACCCUAUAUGUUUGAGCAUUGGUUGUAUUAGUCCUCAUUUGGGAAGUACCUAUACCUGGUCCUAAAGAAAGCAUGAGUGCCUUUUUUCCAUUGGGAACAAAGACAGCAUGCUCAAAAAAGGAUUUAUGACAAUGAACUGAUUGGGAAGCAAUUGGAAAUUAAUUAAUUUGAAAGCGACUGGAACAACUAAUUGUCUGCAGUGGUAUCCCUCCUAGUUUGGUUUGCUCAUCGCACUGGUAGACUUUAGAACGUCAUUUUCUACAGUUAAUUAAGGUUAUACAAUAAAUGAGAGAAUUAAUGUUCAGUUUGGUAAUA
RNAcentral lists this long non-coding RNA (812 nucleotides) under Agrilus planipennis (emerald ash borer). Its description in RNAcentral is "uncharacterized LOC108736114, transcript variant X2". The record is from RNAcentral. Lineage: Eukaryota; Metazoa; Arthropoda; Insecta; Coleoptera; Buprestidae.